AGAGCGAACGCUGGCGGCAGGCUUAACACAUGCAAGUCGAGCGGGCGUAGCAAUACGUCAGCGGCAGACGGGUGAGUAACGCGUGGGAACGUACCUUUUGGUUCGGAACAACCCAGGGAAACUUGGGCUAAUACCGGAUAAGCCCUUACGGGGAAAGAUUUAUCGCCGAAAGAUCGGCCCGCGUCUGAUUAGCUAGUUGGUGAGGUAAUGGCUCACCAAGGCGACGAUCAGUAGCUGGUCUGAGAGGAUGAUCAGCCACAUUGGGACUGAGACACGGCCCAAAACUCCUACGGGAGGCAGCAGUGGGGAAUAUUGGACAAUGGGCGCAAGCCUGAUCCAGCCAUGCCGCGUGAGUGAUGAAGGCCCUAGGGUUGUAAAGCUCUUUUGUGCGGGAAGAUAAUGACGGUACCGCAAGAAUAACGCCCGGCUAACUUCGCGCCAGCAGCCGC
This 449-nucleotide ribosomal RNA is filed under the name uncultured bacterium. RNAcentral describes it as "SSU rRNA". It matches the Rfam family "Bacterial small subunit ribosomal RNA", at positions 26 to 518 of the family's 1533-position model. The record is from RNAcentral.